This 74-nucleotide transfer RNA is filed under the name Oscillospiraceae bacterium. RNAcentral's name for it is "tRNA-Gln". It matches the Rfam family "tRNA". Rfam says of the family: Transfer RNA (tRNA) molecules are approximately 80 nucleotides in length. Their secondary structure includes four short double-helical elements and three loops (D, anti-codon, and T loops). Further hydrogen bonds mediate the characteristic L-shaped molecular structure. tRNAs have two regions of fundamental functional importance: the anti-codon, which is responsible for specific mRNA codon recognition, and the 3' end, to which the tRNAs corresponding amino acid is attached (by aminoacyl-tRNA synthetases). tRNAs cope with the degeneracy of the genetic code in two manners: having more than one tRNA (with a specific anti-codon) for a particular amino acid; and 'wobble' base-pairing, i.e. permitting non-standard base-pairing at the 3rd anti-codon position. The record is from RNAcentral. Lineage: Bacteria; Bacillati; Bacillota; Clostridia; Eubacteriales; Oscillospiraceae.
AGGGGGUUUGUGUAAAGGUAGCACACCGGACUCUGACUCCGUUUGUGAGGGUUCGAAUCCUUCACCCCCUGCCA